GGGGCUGACUUGGAUUUCGACAGAUUUCUUGUCGCACAGAUAGCAUGCCAAGCGCUGCUUGUAAAACAGCAACAAAAAUAACUGUAAACAACGCAGAUUACGCUCCAGCUUACGCUAAAGCUGCGUGAGUU
RNAcentral lists this transfer-messenger RNA (131 nucleotides) under Helicobacter pylori. RNAcentral's name for it is "partial transfer-messenger RNA". It matches the Rfam family "transfer-messenger RNA", at positions 1 to 140 of the family's 374-position model. From Rfam's summary of the family: Bacterial tmRNA, also known as 10Sa RNA or SsrA, is named for its dual tRNA and mRNA-like properties. Lineage: Bacteria; Pseudomonadati; Campylobacterota; Epsilonproteobacteria; Campylobacterales; Helicobacteraceae. The record is from RNAcentral.